GGACAAACGCGAGCAAGCGCCCAGGUGCCCCAAACUUGAAUCUAACUGGUGCUAUGCGAGAAGAAGGGAAGCAUAAACGACCCAAAUGAGUUCUCACCGAUGAUUAUGACGCUGUGGAGGCUGGCCACGGCGGGGAGCAGUUUUGUGGCGGAGCUUCAACUCCGGCGAGAAAUUCACUGGUUUCUGGCUGUUCUUCAGGCCUCAAUCUUCCCUGGUUGCGAUCCUUGUAUCGAGGCGAAUCACCCCGACACACGGCGGACACCGAGCAGCAACGGAGGCAAGGCAAGGGCGCGGCGGAUUCUCGGCGGUGACUAGAACCUCACAGCCGAAGAGCAUGCGAUGCAUAUGAGGGAGGAGAUGGGGGUGAGGGACGUCGGGCGCAGGGUUUAAUAACCCGGAAAGGUUGGUUGCGCCGGGUGCCCGGGUCCGCAAGAGUCGCACGGUGCGGCGAGCUCAGUCGCGAUUAUCGCAGUCCGGUUGAGGAGCGUCUUGAUUGGAUGACUGCGUGUCUG
Molecule: long non-coding RNA, 512 nt
Filed under: Zea mays
Lineage: Eukaryota; Viridiplantae; Streptophyta; Magnoliopsida; Poales; Poaceae
Description: long non-coding RNA NONZMAT002703
Source: RNAcentral